Molecule: non-coding RNA, 721 nt
Organism: Coturnix japonica (Japanese quail)
Lineage: Eukaryota; Metazoa; Chordata; Aves; Galliformes; Phasianidae
Source: RefSeq, a predicted model, not a curated record
GUCUUGUUGCAGGUUUGGAUGGCUGUGAAUGUCACCUCCCUAUGCAGACAGCAGUGACAGGAAUGGAGUGCAAUGCAGGAUGAAGCUGUAGCCUAAGCAGCUGGCUUAAGGUGUGGUCCUGGUCUGCUCUGGUCUCACUGAACUUUGGUGAGUAGAUUUUUGUCUUCAAGGUCAUGUGUAAGCAGAGAAUAGAGAUGUGUUCUGAGUCUUCCCCUGUGCUGAGAUCUGCCUUCCUAUAACUAAGAACCUGCACCCUGAAGAUGCUGAACUCUCAUGGGAGCUCUCCAAUCAAGAGUAUCACAAGGAGUGAUCAAUAGCUCCUGAAACUGGAGGUGCUGCUUUUCUGUGAGGCAGUAGGAUGAGUGGAGAACAUGGAAGACCUGAGGACUCUUCAGAGAUACCAUCUUUCUCAGAUCAAGAGUAUCAAAGGAUUAUGGCACACAUACUCUUGCUGAUCCAUUAUAUGGUACUCUGCCAAGCAUAACUGGUAAAAGGAAACAUAACAGAAAAUGAGUUUUGAGAAGCAGAGUAAAAGAUAGGACAGAACUGGACUCAGUGUCAAGUUUGGUGAAGCUACACCAUCUCCUUAGCUAUCAACAAUGAAUUUUUUAUUGUUAUGGUAUGGAUUUAUGAAGUUUUAUUAUAUGAGCUUAUUAGUUUUCUUCUAUUUUAAAAUAUGCUUGUGUUUGGAAAAAGAGACUAUAAGCUGCUUAUGCACUUA